RNAcentral lists this ribosomal RNA (1229 nucleotides) under Chaetoceros neogracilis. RNAcentral describes it as "partial 28S ribosomal RNA". It matches the Rfam family "Eukaryotic large subunit ribosomal RNA", at positions 1 to 1246 of the family's 3401-position model. Lineage: Eukaryota; Bacillariophyta; Thalassiosirophyceae; Chaetocerotales; Chaetocerotaceae. The record is from RNAcentral.
UUUCGAAUCUCAGCUUGGUAGGGAUACCCGCUGAAYUUAAGCAUAUAAUUAAGCGGAGGAAAAGAAAAUAACCAUGAUUCCCUCAGUAAGGGCGACUGAAGCGGGAAGAGCUCAUUCUGUGAAUCUGCACCAUGUGGUGCCGAGUUGUGGAAUAUAGAAGCACAUCAGCUGCAGACCCCGGUCCAAGUCUUCUGGAAAGGAGCGCUUGAAAGGGUGAGAGCCCCGUAUCUGGCUGGGUGGCUGUAGUAUCAGCAUGUGCCUUCGACGAGUCGAGUUGCUUGGGAUUGCAGCUCUAAGUGGGUGGUAAAUUCCAUCUAAAGCUAAAUAUCGGUGGGAGACCGAUAGCGUACAAGUACCGUGAGGGAAAGAUGCAAAGAACUUUGAAAAGAGAGUUAAAGAGUACCUGAAAUCGCUGAAAUGGAAGCGAAGGAAACCAGUGGCAUUCUCCAACAUUUUCCCGUGCUGCUUGCGGCAUGGGCGCUGUGUUGGAGAGUCGGCCAGCAUGGGUUUGGAUCGGCGGAAGACAUUCUUCAGGAGGCAGCUAGAAUUCCUAGCAAUCACUGAGGAAUGGUGCGCUGGUCGAGACCGAGGCUAGUCACGUUUGUGCUCGUGAUGCUGGCGAAAAUGGUUUUCUUUCCCCCGUCUUGAAACACGGACCAAGGAGUCUAACAUAUGUGCGAGUAUAUGGGUGGCAAACCCACAUGCGAAAUGAAAGUAACAGUGGUAGGACCUUCAGGGCACUAUCCGCCGGCCAAUAUCCCUCGGGAGAACGGUCUGAGUGUGAGCAUACAUGUUGGGACCCGAAAGAUGGUGAACUAUGCCUGAAUAGGGUGAAGCCGCGGGAAACCGCGGUGGAGGCUCGUAGCGGUUCUGACGUGCAAAUCGAUCGUCAAAUUUGGGUAUAGGGGCGAAAGACUAAUCGAACCAUCUAGUAGCUGGUUCCCUCCGAAAUUUCCCUCAGGAUAGCUGCAAUCGAUGUCAAUUUUAUCAGGUAAAGCGAAUGAUUAGAGGAUUUGGGGAAGUAAUUUCCUCGACCUAUUCUCAAACUUUAAAUGGGUAAGAACUCGGGGUUGCUUAAUUGAACCCUGCGGUUGAAUGACGGUUGCUAGUGGGCCACACCGGGUAAGCUGGUUUGGCGAUGCGGGAUGAUCCGAACGUUGAGAUAAGGUGCCAAAGUACUCGCUCACCUAGAUCCCACAAAAGGUGUUGGUUCAUAAAGACAGCAGGAC